CUGGUACUAGAGUGGCGAACGGGUGAGUAACACGUGGGUGAUCUGCCUUGCACUCUGGGAUAAGCUUGGGAAACUGGGUCUAAUACCGGAUAGGAACCGUCUUUAGUGUGGUGGUUGGAAAGUUUUUUCGGUGCAAGAUGAGCUCGCGGCCUAUCAGCUUGUUGGUGGGGUAAUGGCCUACCAAGGCGUCGACGGGUAGCCGGCCUGAGAGGGUGUACGGCCACAUUGGGACUGAGAUACGGCCCAG
RNAcentral lists this ribosomal RNA (247 nucleotides) under uncultured Actinomycetales bacterium. Its description in RNAcentral is "partial 16S ribosomal RNA". It matches the Rfam family "Bacterial small subunit ribosomal RNA", at positions 84 to 334 of the family's 1533-position model. The record is from RNAcentral. Lineage: Bacteria; Bacillati; Actinomycetota; Actinomycetes; Actinomycetales.